Molecule: microRNA, 22 nt
Filed under: Lottia gigantea (owl limpet)
Lineage: Eukaryota; Metazoa; Mollusca; Gastropoda; Lottiidae
Description: Lgi-Mir-242-P1_3p* (star (passenger))
Source: RNAcentral
UGUGCAUUCUACCUAUACAGUG